RNAcentral lists this ribosomal RNA (508 nucleotides) under uncultured bacterium. RNAcentral's name for it is "partial 16S ribosomal RNA". It matches the Rfam family "Bacterial small subunit ribosomal RNA", at positions 28 to 523 of the family's 1533-position model. The record is from RNAcentral.
GAUGAACGCUAGCUACAGGCUUAACACAUGCAAGUCGAGGGGAAACGAUAGAGAAAGCUUGCUUUUUCUAGGCGUCGACCGGCGCACGGGUGAGUAACGCGUAUCCAACCUGCCCACCACUUGGGGAUAACCUUGCGAAAGUAAGACUAAUACCCAAUGACGUCCAUAGAAGACAUCUGAAAUGGAUUAAAGAUUUAUCGGUGAUGGAUGGGGAUGCGUCUGAUUAGCUUGUUGGCGGGGUAAGGGCCGACCAAGGCGACGAUCAGUAGGGGUUCUGAGAGGAAGGUCCCCCACAUUGGAACUGAGACACGGUCCACACUCCUACGGGAGGCAGCAGUGAGGAAUAUUGGUCAAUGGGCGAGAGCCUGAACCAGCCAAGUAGCGUGCAGGAUGACGGCCCUAUGGGUUGUAAACUGCUUUUAUAAGGGAAUAAAGUGAGUCUCGUGAGACUUUUUGCAUGUACCUUAUGAAUAAGGACCGGCUAAUUCCGUGCCAGCCGCCGCCGUAA